RNAcentral lists this transfer RNA (76 nucleotides) under Candidatus Komeilibacteria bacterium RIFOXYA2_FULL_45_9. RNAcentral describes it as "tRNA-Met". It matches the Rfam family "tRNA". Rfam says of the family: Transfer RNA (tRNA) molecules are approximately 80 nucleotides in length. Their secondary structure includes four short double-helical elements and three loops (D, anti-codon, and T loops). RNAcentral also lists the same sequence under 2 other names. Lineage: Bacteria; Candidatus Komeiliibacteriota. The record is from RNAcentral.
GGCAGGGUAGCUCAGUUGGUAGAGCGUGGGACUCAUAAGCCCGAGGUCGUGGGUUCAAUCCCCACCCCUGCUACCA